GCCCAGUUCAGCUAAAACUGCCAAGCCUACUUUCAGAAGUGGAUCUGCCAUGGCCAGUAAUAGCUGUGCGUUUCAUUGUCGUUGUUCAGAUUGUAAUUUUUAUUCUAUUAGGACAUAAAAAUGCUAUUUUAAACACUUCAGGAUACACUGUUUGAGGUGACGUCCAUUUGUUUUUUUUUUAAUAUAAUUUUGAACAUUUGCAUAUUCGAUCUUGGUUUUUUUAUGCUGAAUAUAUAUAUACACACACUUUCAUAUGUAUUCACAUAUUUACAUGUAUAUAUACAUAUUCAUUAAUUACAUAUUUACAGAUCAUAUAUACACACACAUUUAUACGCAUACACACGGACUCAUAUUUAUAGAUACGUUUGUACCCACAUAAAUAAAUACAUGCACACCCCCGCAUUCACGCCUGGGAACGUCAGAAUUUGACCAAUGCCUCUGGGUUGUUUUCAAAGUUGAAUUUUUAGUGCACAGUUAGAUCCCAAGGCGAUGUGAUCUGGAGUAGACACAAGUAGGAUCUAUCAGAAUUGGCUACUGGUGUAUCUACCUAGUAGGUGCUAUUCUAGCCAGUAAGCCAGUAAGAUAGUACGGGCGAGUCAUACAAUGUUUGGUCCUCAAAAUAAUUUCAUUGGGCUUAAGCACAAAUAGCCUUACGCCUGGAAUGUUAAAGACCAUCGAACUAAGAGGAGUGACAUAACAUUGCUUUUUUAAAGUCAUAAAUUACUAACAGGUAUUUUUUUUAAGUGAGCUUAAAGAGGGUCACCUUUUAUUUGAAAGUUUCCAGGUAUGUAAACUUCGUAUCCACAUCAACAAUCAUAUGUAUGUAUAUAUAUAUUUCUUUUUAGUAUGCAUAAGUGAACAUCUUCGGUGGUGUGUGUUUUCAGAAUUUGAUGCAAGUGUUGCCUGUGUUUUUUGAUAAACACUAAACUUGGGCUCUUUUAAAGGAAUAGUGAAUGCAACAUCUGGAUUAGAAAACUACCUUCCGUUAAACUACCUUCCGUUAACAGAAAAUGAUGUUGGCCAACGGUUUAUUAUAGGCUUUGGAUGUUUGUCAUGUGAUUCCUUAUCACUUUAUAAUUAUGAUGAAAAAAAAACUGUUAGUUCUAAUGAGUUUUCUGACGUUUAGAAGAUUCUUCUAGAGCGAGCUAUAAGCUGAUGGAAAAGUUUCCCACCCAUAACUUCAUUCUAGAAUUGUUCUCUGCUAGAUGGUUGUGAACUUGCUACUCUCGGGGUACUUCAGUUCAAGAGUCUGAUCCAUUGAUAAUCCUAUACCAUUAAUAGGACACUAUGUAACCCACUAGGGAGAAUUUUACAUUACCCUAAUUAUAACAAAGAUAACAUAGAUACCUAAUGAUGUGUUUACAAAUGUUUAGCAAAUUUUGCAAAUUUAGGACAAGCAUUUUGUCUUCAUAAUUAUCCCUUUGAUAGGACACUUAACUUGCUUUAUUUAAAGCUGUCUUUAAUAUGAGACACGUCUAGAUAUCAUGACUACUAUUCCUUUAAAAUGUCCCAGGCUCUACCAGUACUUCUCUGCUUAACAGUGAGAAACUCAUUUUCUUGUUUGUUUGUUUUGUUUAUUAACAAAUUUCCCAAUCUCUAAUCAACAGAAUGGGCCAUUAAAUCUGGUCAUUCAAAGUUUACUAAAUACCUUCUGCUUGUUUUUUAAUGAAGAUUUUGUCUGAAUCCAAGCAGACUUAACCACUUCACAACAAGGUUAAGAAAUGAUUAUUAUCUAUUAUACUACGAUGGCUUCUAUCGUGCCAUAAAGUAGUUAAGAGAAGAAGUAGUAUGAGCUGCAGAUUGUAAUAAAACGUUGAUUCCCAUUGUGAUCUAAUAGAAGGGUAAUAAUAUUCUUAGGUAAAAUAUUUAUAGCAAAAUGUCAUGGAUUGUAUAAUUAUCCACUCGGUGUAGUUCCCUCUUCUCCCCAUCUAUCGGUGGUGGUUCCCUGUGACUAUUUCAGGUUCUGUCUUGGUUAUCAACAAGCAAUAACUCUGUUUAGCCUUAUUCUGGAAAUUAGCCAAAGGUAAUGAUGUAAUACUUUAGGAGAGAUACAUUUUUAUGUCAUUCAUUCUGUCUACUUUGUGAACCAGUAUAUAUUUUACAUUGAAUCAGAUUUCCCUUUGUCUAUAAUUCACACUAUUAAUAAGUUUGACUUUGUGUAAAUAUCCUCACGAUACAAGAAUAGUUAAAUAAGUAAAAUUAUUCAACGAGAGACUAGUAGAUGUACCCCUUAUGUCUUACUAAAGGUACAUUUAGUCCACAGAUGGGUAAUAUGGACCAGAAAGUAAGUAAUGCCAACCCACUAUUGGAUUAUUGGAAUAAUGCUAUAUAAGAGCUGGACAUAACUGGAUAAUAUGUAAAGGACAACGGGCAAUCAAGAAUCUUUACCUAGAAAUCAGGGACAAAUCUGGCUGCUAUACGAUAUCAGUUCUUACUGCAAUAAUUUAAAAUUCUAAAAAGCUAUUCCAAUAUCAAUGUGUGUUCAUAAUUACGGAUAUUUACCUGUUUCUUCAUCAGGGCGAUU
This is a non-coding RNA of Pelobates cultripes (western spadefoot toad), 2524 nucleotides long. The record is from the annotation of a GenBank genome assembly. Lineage: Eukaryota; Metazoa; Chordata; Amphibia; Anura; Pelobatidae.